This 672-nucleotide ribosomal RNA is filed under the name uncultured Microvirgula sp. Its description in RNAcentral is "bacterial SSU rRNA". It matches the Rfam family "Bacterial small subunit ribosomal RNA", at positions 66 to 731 of the family's 1533-position model. The record is from RNAcentral. Lineage: Bacteria; Pseudomonadati; Pseudomonadota; Betaproteobacteria; Neisseriales; Aquaspirillaceae.
ACGGUAACAGGGGAGCUUGCUCCCGCUGACGAGUGGCGAACGGGUGAGUAAUGCAUCGGAACGUGCCGAAUAGUGGGGGAUAACGCACCGAAAGGUGUGUUAAUACCGCAUACGCCCUGAGGGGGAAAGUGGGGGACCGCAAGGCCUCACGCUAAUCGAGCGGCCGAUGUCGGAUUAGCUAGUUGGUGGGGUAAAGGCUCACCAAGGCGACGAUCCGUAGCGGGUCUGAGAGGAUGAUCCGCCACACUGGGACUGAGACACGGCCCAGACUCCUACGGGAGGCAGCAGUGGGGAAUUUUGGACAAUGGGGGAAACCCUGAUCCAGCCAUGCCGCGUGUCUGAAGAAGGCCUUCGGGUUGUAAAGGACUUUUGUCCGGGAGGAAACCCUGAUCGUUAAUAGCGGUCGGGACUGACAGUACCGGAAGAAUAAGCACCGGCUAACUACGUGCCAGCAGCCGCGGUAAUACGUAGGGUGCAAGCGUUAAUCGGAAUUACUGGGCGUAAAGCGUGCGCAGGCGGUGAGAUAAGUCAGCUGUGAAAGCCCCGGGCUCAACCUGGGAACUGCGGCCGAAACUGUCUCGCUAGAGUACGUCAGAGGGGGGUGGAAUUCCACGUGUAGCAGUGAAAUGCGUAGAGAUGUGGAGGAACACCAAUGGCGAAGGCAGCCCCCUG